Molecule: long non-coding RNA, 2494 nt
Organism: Anas platyrhynchos (mallard)
Lineage: Eukaryota; Metazoa; Chordata; Aves; Anseriformes; Anatidae
Source: RefSeq, a predicted model, not a curated record
UACACUUUUGUAAGUUAACAACAGCUCUACCAAUUUGGUUUGAAAAGGUUCAUGCAAGAUGAAAAGGGACCACCUCUGGGUGAGACUGAGCAGAAAAAAAUUCAGCCCCAUUGGAAACUGAAUUUAAAAGAGCACAAAAGAUGAAAAAGCAGCUUAGAAUAGCCGUUGGACUUCCACUUUAAUUAUAACUCUGUCUGAUGACAGUGAAAAAUGAUUUUCCUUCUUGGCUGGGUUUUAGAAACAUUCCCAGUACAACCCUAAAUAGACACUGCAGACAGGCAACAAAGUAGCUUACAGACCAGAUCCACAGUCCACUGAAGUCACUACAGAGGGACUAUGUGAUUUCAGCAGCUUUGGAAAUCAGUCUGAAAUCAAAUGCUUCCUCUUACCAGGGAAGGAAAGUAUCCAGUUCCUUUCUUUGACAACGAAGGGCUGUUGAUCUCUGGAGACUGAUGAGUGACAUUAUAGAAUCCUGGGCCUGGAUUUUCACUCUAGCAAGAGAAGUACCACACACAUUGACCAAGCUGUAUUGAUCACCUCUCUCUUGGGGCAAAGGCAAUGAAAUACAGGCAUAGGCUCAUACUGAUGCUAAUGGGACAGCUCCUUUCCCCAGUACCUCAUCUUUCUGCCACAUACUUGAGGCUCUCCAAAUUGUGCUCCAUGGAGAAGACGGUUGUGCUGAGGGAAGCAAGUUUGGUUCAAUUUGCUAGAACCAGCUAUUAAAUGUGCAGCGGGUUUCCAAAGCAGAUGAUAAAAAAAAAAAAAAACUUGCAUCUGCAAGCUCAAUUACCUGGUGUUGCCCAGGCUUGGCUGCUCCUGCUGACCAGCCUGCUGAGGCUUGGAUGGAAUCCCAUGCUCAACCCUGCCCCAUAAAGGGGAGUUACUACUCUGACAGCACGUUCGUGAUUAGCACCUUCCAGGACAGCACGUGUCAGGGAACCAACUACAGAGCCCUUCUCCCAUCCACUGCAUCUAGCUCUGGUUUGGCAUGCACAUCACCACGUCAGUGUUGUUGAAAGUAAUUGGAGAUUAGACAUCUACACACCCUUGGAAAUUUACCUCCUGCUACAGUGACUGCACACCUCUGUGUCCUUUGAAUACUUUGAACUAUAUUCUGGUGAAUAUAAGGGAGGAUUUAGCUGUGUGGUAAAUCCACCAGAAAUGCCUUCCAAACUCCGGUGUUCAGGCACCUGUGGGGCUGUGUGAAUACAGUGGUAAACUGGCACAGUUACAAAAGUGGGUCAACUCACUUGGUAAUUAUUCCAGGUCAGGUACUAAGAAGCAAAUAAGCUCUCUACAUUGCCUACAUUACAGGUGGGUAAACCUCGUGUACUGGUAAACUUCAUUUAUCCCUGACUACCCUGCUAAAGGAAUGUGCUCCAAAAUGGCUUGUGCUGAAGAGAACACAAUCAAGCACUGGUGGAGGAAAAUAAGUCAGUAACUGCAAAAAGGCCUAGUAUUAAGCGACCUAAUGCUUCCCCUCCCCUACCUAGCACAGUAACUUUUCUCUAGGGUAAAGCUUAAGAAAGAAUCAGCCAAGCCCUUGUAUAGCUUGUGGUUUGGCUUCCUGCCUGCUCUGCCCUUCAAGCAGGAAAUUCUCAAAGGCAAGGGAGUGCUUUGUGAAGCUACCUUAAGACUCUGCCUCUUCUCUUUUACUCAGAACUUAGCAUCAGGUCAUCUGGAACUCCUGGAAGCUGACCAGACAGACUGAUGGCGCCUACUUAAGUCCCGAGAUAAUAUGUUCCUGAUAUCACUGAGAUGGGAGAGACAAGCAAGGAGGAAGAGAUCAAAGGAAGGAGAAGAAAGAGAAGAUGCCAAAGGCAAAAGAAGAAAGAGGGAAGAAGACGAAUACUUCCGAGAUUUACCUACUUUACAUACCUGGCACCCAAAGCUUCAGAAAUUCAGAAUAUACUUAGUUUUCAGAGUUCUGGUGUUACCACAUAGUCACCAGACCACAGGAAACAGUCAGCGGGGGCCAUGGGCAUCCUCUUUCCACCAGCAGAGGAUGUAGCUUGAAAGCUGCAUCCAGAAAGCCCAGGAGGCCCAUGGCACCUCUGAGUGUUGGCCAGACUUGAAAAGAAACCCUGCACAGCGCAGCCUGGGAAAACAGCAUGGUUUUAACAUAUCUUUCUGCUUCCCUCUGCUGGCCAGAUAACAUAUACCAAUGUAAGUCCUACAAAUCAGGGAUCAAGGUGAAGUGUCCAAAGAUAGAAGGGGUCAUAUUCUCCUACCAUUAUACAAGUGGUAACUCUACUGAUUUCUUUAAAUUUUCUCCUGAAUUUCACAAUACAUGCAAGAUAUAUGUUUGUGUCCAUGAGGGUUCAAGACUGGAAAAGGGACCAGGGACAAAGCUGGGUGGGAGAGAUGUAGGGGGAUGGUAAGGACAAGGGUGAUGUAUGUGGAGUAAUGUUAAGGUUUAAAUUAAUAACACCGCUUUACCAUUUACUUCAUACUGUUAAGAGUUGUGAUUAAAAAACAAAUUUAACAACCAUAA